GGGGCUAGUGCAGAGAUGACACAUAAAAUGUUUGAGUGAGAGUUAUGAAGGAGAAAGGAUUGAGAGGAAUGAAGGAGGUGAAUAAGGGUUUGGGGUUUCUUUUUUUAGUUUUGAGAAUGAAAAUUAUUAAAAUAAGGCAAGUGUUUCUGAUUUUUUUAAUUGGAGCUAGAGUAGGGAUGAUAGAGAAAAGGUUUGACUAAAAGAGAUGAAAGAGAAAGGGUUGAGAGGAAUGAAAGAGGUGGGUAAGGGUUUGGGGGUUUCUUUUUUAUUUUUUUAAUUUUGAGAAUGAAAAUUAUUAAAAUACCCUUAACCUUAAAACUUAGAGUUCAUGAUAUAUAAGGGUAUUUUUGUAUACUGAAACCCGGUACACAUUGCUAAAAUGCACCAACUGAAAAACAG
RNAcentral lists this long non-coding RNA (399 nucleotides) under Vigna radiata. RNAcentral's name for it is "long non-coding RNA (VRAD_LNC000058)". Lineage: Eukaryota; Viridiplantae; Streptophyta; Magnoliopsida; Fabales; Fabaceae. The record is from RNAcentral.